Molecule: ribosomal RNA, 108 nt
Filed under: Heterorhabditis sp. EPNKU34
Lineage: Eukaryota; Metazoa; Nematoda; Chromadorea; Rhabditida; Heterorhabditidae
Description: partial 28S ribosomal RNA
Rfam family: Eukaryotic large subunit ribosomal RNA
Source: RNAcentral
UGCAUUUGCAACCUGAGCUCAGACGUGAUUACCCGCUGAACUUAAUCAUAUCAUUUAGCGGAGGAAAAGAAACUAACUAGGAUUCCCUUAGUAACCCCCAGUGAAAAC